This 493-nucleotide ribosomal RNA is filed under the name Moristroma germanicum. Its description in RNAcentral is "partial 28S large subunit ribosomal RNA". It matches the Rfam family "Eukaryotic large subunit ribosomal RNA", at positions 102 to 601 of the family's 3401-position model. Lineage: Eukaryota; Fungi; Ascomycota; Eurotiomycetes; Phaeomoniellales. The record is from RNAcentral.
UAAUAGCUCAAAUUUGAAAUCUGACUCUUCGAGUCCGAGUUGUAAUUUGUAGAGGAUGUUUCGGGUCCAAUUUCGGUUUAAAUUUCUUGGAACAGAAUGUCAUAGAGGGUGAGAAUCCCGUCUAUAACCGUCUAUUGUACCCAUGUGAAACUCCUUCGACGAGUCGAGUUGUUUGGGAAUGCAGCUCUAAAUGGGAGGUAAAUUUCUUCUAAAGCUAAAUAUUGGCCAGAGACCGAUAGCGCACAAGUAGAGUGAUCGAAAGAUGAAAAGCACUUUGAAAAGAGAGUUAAACAGUAUGUGAAAUUGUUGAAAGGGAAGCGCUUGCAAUCAGACUUGCAUUUAACAUUCCCCUAUUGUUUUCAAUAGGUCAUUUUGUUAAAUUCAGGCCAGCAUCAGUUUGAGUGGUUAGUUAAAGACCUUAGGAAUGUAUCUACUCUCGGGUAGACUUAUAGCCUAGGGUGAAAUGUGACCUACUUGGACUGAGGAACGCGCU